RNAcentral lists this long non-coding RNA (464 nucleotides) under Capsella grandiflora. RNAcentral describes it as "long non-coding RNA (CGRA_LNC000561)". Lineage: Eukaryota; Viridiplantae; Streptophyta; Magnoliopsida; Brassicales; Brassicaceae. The record is from RNAcentral.
UAUAACUUCAAAACUUUAACUGACAAUUUUACAAGAAAAUAUAUAAUCGGUCAAGAAGAAACAAGAACCGACGUUGGAACGUAACAAGUUAUAUAAACUCUAUCUAUUUGGCUUUGGAAAAUAUGUAUUAUUGGUACGUACCAUGCUGGUGGCAGAAGCCGCAGAAGGGUAUGCGUUCAAAGUUUUGACGCAGAAGGCUUUGUGGGUAGUACCGGCACGUUCGCAUAUGACGUCGAUGUAUUUUGUGGCCGAAGCAGAGACUAAAAGAAAUGGUAUCAGAAUCACAAGAGAAAGGAGGCCAACACAAGAGGAAGAAGAAGCCAUUUCUUUAGUUAAAUGUUUUGAUUUUGGUACUUUAUUGUUCAACAAUUGUGGUUUGGUUUAUAUAACACUUGCACGCAUAACAUAUACACAGUACAGUUUUGGCCCAUUUGCUUUAAGAUUGGUCAAAGUUUAAGAUUUUG